Panicum hallii is the source of this 551-nucleotide long non-coding RNA. RefSeq lists it as uncharacterized. NCBI's taxonomy places the organism in Eukaryota, Viridiplantae, Streptophyta, Magnoliopsida, Poales, Poaceae. The record is from RefSeq and is a predicted model, not a curated record. The transcript is spliced from 2 exons.
CCGAACCUAUAGUAACAAACAAAAUCAAGAAAGCCCUUUCUCUUUCCCCUCUUAUCAUCUCCGCUGGCUUCCUGAGAGUCCUGCCGUCUCUGCCCCCUGCCUUCAUGAGGGACGAAGGAAGAAUAUGGCGCAGUGCGAGCGGCUUCCGGCGAGAACUGCGACCGCUGCCGUGGCCGUGCAUUGCGCAGAGCGGGACGUGCCCGCCCGCGCUCUACCGGGAGCGGCUUGCCUGCCCGGCGCGAAGCGCAAAGUCCGCGCGACGGGGAGCAGCCAAGCAGGUGGUCGACGCGAAUCGCGGCGCGUCCUGGGUGGGAGCGGAUCGGGCGGUGCGAGCGCUGAUCAUGGGCUUGGAACCGGCGAUUUGGGGAAGAGAUAAGGAUGCUGCCGGUGAUUGCGGGUAAGGUUGGGGAGGGGUAAAAUCGGAAGAACGACGUCGAUCACAUCUGUUUUAACGGCGUUGAGCUCUAUUUUCCGUCAAAAAUAACGUCUAAUGCUAUGUAAGGGAUGAAGUUAAAUUUUCAAUGGUACCGAAGGAAUUAUUUAAAUUUUAA